GAUGAACGCUAGCGGCAGGCUUAACACAUGCAAGUCGAGGGGUAUUGGUUUUCGGACCAAGAGACCGGCGCACGGGUGCGUAACGCGUAUGCAAUCUACCUUUUGCAGAGGGAUAGCCCAGAGAAAUUUGGAUUAAUACCUCAUAGUAUAGUAGUUUCGCAUGAAACGACUAUUAAAGUUCCAACGGCAAAAGAUGAGCAUGCGUCCCAUUAGCUAGUUGGUAAGGUAACGGCUUACCAAGGCAACGAUGGGUAGGGGUCCUGAGAGGGAGAUCCCCCACACUGGUACUGAGACACGGACCAGACUCCUACGGGAGGCAGCAGUGAGGAAUAUUGGACAACGGGCGCAAGCCUGAUCCAGCCAUGCCGCGUGCAGGAUGACGGUCCUAUGGAUUGUAAACUGCUUUUGUACAGGAAGAAACACUCCCUCGUGAGGGAGCUUGACGGUACUGUAAGAAUAAGGAUCGGCUAACUCCGUGCCAGCCGCCGCCGUAA
Molecule: ribosomal RNA, 494 nt
Filed under: uncultured bacterium
Lineage: Bacteria
Description: partial 16S ribosomal RNA
Rfam family: Bacterial small subunit ribosomal RNA
Source: RNAcentral